GGCCUCGUAGCUCAACUGGUAGAGCAUGCGCUUUAUAAAGGCGUAGGUGGUCUCCAUGUGUGUGGGUUAGAGUCCCACCGAGGCGA
Molecule: transfer RNA, 86 nt
Filed under: Echinostoma caproni
Lineage: Eukaryota; Metazoa; Platyhelminthes; Trematoda; Plagiorchiida; Echinostomatidae
Rfam family: tRNA
About the family: Transfer RNA (tRNA) molecules are approximately 80 nucleotides in length. Their secondary structure includes four short double-helical elements and three loops (D, anti-codon, and T loops).
Source: Rfam by way of RNAcentral